Molecule: ribosomal RNA, 443 nt
Filed under: uncultured bacterium
Lineage: Bacteria
Description: partial 16S ribosomal RNA
Rfam family: Bacterial small subunit ribosomal RNA
Source: RNAcentral
CCUACGGGAGGCAGCAGUGGGGAAUAUUGGACAAUGGGGGGAACCCUGAUCCAGCGACGCCGCGUGAGUGAAGAAGUAUUUCGGUAUGUAAAGCUCUAUCAGCAGGGAAGAAAGAAAUGACGGUACCUGACUAAGAAGCCCCGGCUAACUACGUGCCAGCAGCCGCGGGAAUACGUAGGGGGCAAGCGUUAUCCGGAUUUACUGGGUGUAAAGGGAGCGUAGACGGCGAUGCAAGUCUGAAGUGAAAGGCGGGGGCCCAACCCCCGGACUGCUUUGGAAACUGUAUGGCUGGAGUGCAGGAGAGGUAAGUGGAAUUCCUAGUGUAGCGGUGAAAUGCGUAGAUAUUAGGAGGAACACCAGUGGCGAAGGUGGCUUACUGGACUGUAACUGACGUUGAGGCUCGAAAGCGUGGGGAGCAAACAGGAUUAGAUACCCUUGUAGUC